GGAGAGUUGGCAGAGCGGUAAUGCAGCGGAUUGCUAAUCCGUCAACCCUUUAUAGGGUUGCAAGAGUUCAAAUCUCUUACUCUCCG
Molecule: transfer RNA, 86 nt
Filed under: Fidelibacterota bacterium
Lineage: Bacteria; Pseudomonadati; Fidelibacterota
Description: tRNA-Ser
Rfam family: tRNA
About the family: Transfer RNA (tRNA) molecules are approximately 80 nucleotides in length. Their secondary structure includes four short double-helical elements and three loops (D, anti-codon, and T loops).
Source: RNAcentral